Molecule: ribosomal RNA, 253 nt
Filed under: uncultured bacterium
Lineage: Bacteria
Description: partial 16S ribosomal RNA
Rfam family: Bacterial small subunit ribosomal RNA
Source: RNAcentral
UACGUAGGGGGCAAGCGUUAUCCGGAUUUACUGGGUGUAAAGGGGGCGCAGACGGCGAUGCAAGCCAGGAGUGAAAGCCCGGGGCCCAACCCCGGGACUGCUCUUGGAACUGCGUGGCUGGAGUGCAGGAGGGGCAGGCGGAAUUCCUGGUGUAGCGGUGAAAUGCGUAGAUAUCAGGAGGAACACCGGUGGCGAAGGCAGCAUACCGGCGCCCUACUGACGCUGAGGCACGAAAGCGUGGGUAUCGAACAGG